RNAcentral lists this ribosomal RNA (291 nucleotides) under uncultured bacterium. Its description in RNAcentral is "partial 16S ribosomal RNA". It matches the Rfam family "Bacterial small subunit ribosomal RNA", at positions 335 to 615 of the family's 1533-position model. The record is from RNAcentral.
ACUCCUACGGGAGGCAGCAGUGGGGAAUAUUGCGCAAUGGGCGAAAGCCUGACGCAGCGACGCCGUGUGAGUGAUGAAGGCCCUCGGGUCGUAAAGCUCUGUCAGGGGGACGGAAACCAUCCACGAGUUAAUAUCUCGUGGACUUGACGGUACCUCCAAAGGAAGCACCGGCUAACUCCGUGCCAGCAGCCGCGGUAAUACGGAGGGUGCGAGCGUUGUUCGGAAUUACUGGGCGUAAAGCGCGUGUAGGCGGCUUUUUUAAGUCUGGUGUGAAAUCCCGGGGCUCACCCC